RNAcentral lists this ribosomal RNA (460 nucleotides) under uncultured bacterium. RNAcentral's name for it is "partial 16S ribosomal RNA". It matches the Rfam family "Bacterial small subunit ribosomal RNA", at positions 338 to 795 of the family's 1533-position model. The record is from RNAcentral.
CCUACGGGUGGCAGCAGUGAGGAAUAUUGGUCAAUGGACGCGAGCCUGAACCAGCCAAGUAGCGUGAAGGAUGACUGCUCUAUGGGUUGUAAACUUCUUUUAUAAGGGAAUAAAGCGAGGCACGUGUGCCUCUUUGCAUGUACUUUAUGAAUAAGGAUCGGCUAACUCCGUGCCAGCAGCCGCGGUAAUACGGAGGAUCCGAGCGUUAUCCGGAUUUAUUGGGUUUAAAGGGGGCGUAGACGGGUUGUUAAGUCAGUUGUGAAAGUUUGCGGCUCAACCGUAAAAUUGCAAUUGAUACUGGGAGUCUUGAGUACAUUUGAGGCAGGCGGAAUGCGUGGUGUAGCGGUGAAAUGCUUAGAUAUCACGAAGAACCCCGAUUGCGAAGGCAGCUUACUAAGCUGUGACUGACGUUGAUGCACGAAAGUGUGGGGAUCGAACAGGAUUAGAUACCCUAGUAGUC